Poeciliopsis prolifica (blackstripe livebearer) is the source of this 477-nucleotide long non-coding RNA. RefSeq lists it as uncharacterized. The record is from RefSeq and is a predicted model, not a curated record. Lineage: Eukaryota; Metazoa; Chordata; Actinopteri; Cyprinodontiformes; Poeciliidae. The transcript is spliced from 3 exons.
AGGACGAAUAAUCCGUCACCUUGUUCUGAGGACGAACAUCGUCCACUGCACGCAACUCCUUGGCCAGAGCCGUCAGGUCCUGCAAGAUCGGGAAGUGAAGCAGGAAACAGAAAGCUGCUGGAGAGGAAGAAGUUAUAGAGGAAAAACCAACCAAUGAGAAGCCAAACAGAUGCGAGGAGAGAAAUGACUGUAAAGCGGAUGCUCUCCAAGCUGCUGGAGGGAAGAAAGCGUGGGUUAAAAUGGCAGCCAAGAGAGUCCGGCGGGGAAAGGAGUCAAACAAGAAGUGGAGCAAGGAGGCUCGGUCCAACAACGAACAUCUGAUUGGAUCGCUCAAGGAUGGAGAGCAGAAAGAGCGGGGAAAAAACCCCAAAAACUACACACACACACUUCAGAUGUCAAACAAACCCCCAAAGCUCCAGGUUCUAGUUCUAAGGCAGCUAGAGCGCUACACGGUUCUGGUUCUGAUCUCACCGCUGG